This 559-nucleotide ribosomal RNA is filed under the name uncultured bacterium. Its description in RNAcentral is "bacterial SSU rRNA". It matches the Rfam family "Bacterial small subunit ribosomal RNA", at positions 313 to 885 of the family's 1533-position model. The record is from RNAcentral.
CUGGGACUGAAACACGGCCGAGACUCCUACUGGAGGCUCAGCGGGGAAUAUUGCACAAUGGGCGAAAGCGUGAUGCGAGCACGCCGCGUGACGGAUGACGGCCUUCAUGUUGACAACCUCUUUCGCUACGCACGAAAUUCCACUGACCUCCCUGCACUCUAACCGGGGCCAACUACGUGCCAGCAGCCGCGUUGAGACCCAGGGUUUCAGCGUUGUCCGGAUUUAUUGGGCGUAAAGAGUUUACACGCGGCUUGUCCCAACGACUGUGAAUACCUCCAUAUUACCUGCGGUGCUGCAACCGAUACAGGCAGGCUUUACUUCGGUGGGACAGACUGGAAUUCCUGGUGUAAAGCGGGAAUGCGCUCAUCCCACGAGGAACGCCUUUGGCAAACGCAGGUCUUUGUCCCCAUACUGACGCUGAUGAGCCAAGGUUCGGGGAGCGAACCAGAUUAGAUACCCUGUGCCUCCACGCUGAAAACGGUGCGCGCUACGUGUGGGGUACCUCUGCUGUUCUCUGUGCCGCAGCUAACGCAUUUAGCCUUGCGCCGGCGGAGUACGG